GAUGAACGCUGGCGGCGUGCCUCAAACAUGCAAGUCGAGCGAGGCUAUGAGUUACCGCAAGGUAAGGCAUAGCCUAGCGGCGAACGGGUGAGUAACACGUGGGUAACCUACCUGGAAGACAGGGAUAACGAUUCGAAAGGGUCGCUAAUACCUGAUAAUAUCCAUCUGCCGGAUGGCGGAGGGAAGAAAGGGGAAACCCGCUUUCAGAUGGGCCCGCGUCCCAUCAGCUAGUUGGUAAGGUAAAGGCUUACCAAGGCGACGACGGGUAGCCGGUCUGAGAGGAUGUACGGCCACACUGGGACUGAGAUACGGCCCAGACUCCUACGGGAGGCAGCAGUUGGGAAUCUUAGGCAAUGGACGAAAGUCUGACCUAGCGACGCCGCGUGAGGGAAGAAGGCCUUGGGUUGUAAACCUCUGUCAUGGGGAAGAAGGAAGUGACGGUACCCCAAGAGGAAGCCCCUAGCUAACUACGUG
Molecule: ribosomal RNA, 474 nt
Filed under: uncultured bacterium
Lineage: Bacteria
Description: bacterial SSU rRNA
Rfam family: Bacterial small subunit ribosomal RNA
Source: RNAcentral